Molecule: ribosomal RNA, 348 nt
Filed under: Providencia stuartii
Lineage: Bacteria; Pseudomonadati; Pseudomonadota; Gammaproteobacteria; Enterobacterales; Morganellaceae
Description: SSU rRNA
Rfam family: Bacterial small subunit ribosomal RNA
Source: RNAcentral
AACGCGAAGAACCUUACCUACUCUUGACAUCCAGAGAACUUAGCAGAGAUGCUUUGGUGCCUUCGGGAACUCUGAGACAGGUGCUGCAUGGCUGUCGUCAGCUCGUGUUGUGAAAUGUUGGGUUAAGUCCCGCAACGAGCGCAACCCUUAUCCUUUGUUGCCAGCGAUUCGGUCGGGAACUCAAAGGAGACUGCCGGUGAUAAACCGGAGGAAGGUGGGGAUGACGUCAAGUCAUCAUGGCCCUUACGAGUAGGGCUACACACGUGCUACAAUGGCGUAUACAAAGAGAAGCGACCUCGCGAGAGCAAGCGGAACUCAUAAAGUAUGUCGUAGUCCGGAUUGGAGUCU